This 1461-nucleotide long non-coding RNA is filed under the name Homo sapiens (human). Its description in RNAcentral is "HSALNT0377587". Lineage: Eukaryota; Metazoa; Chordata; Mammalia; Primates; Hominidae. The record is from RNAcentral.
AUAAAGCAAAUGACCAAGAAACAACUUUUAUAUUAAUCAGGAUUCGUUUUUAAGUUGAAGUGACCAAAAUACAACUCAAACUAACUCAAGCAAAAAAGAAAUAGGUACUGGGGAGAGGGGACAGUAGGGGAACAGGCUCCCACAUACUGAGAUCUGGGAACACAAAGGGAAGUUAUCAGGUCUCUCUCCCUCUCAGCUCUGCUUCUUUCAGUGUGGUGGCCUCAUUCUUUCUAACUGAAGAACGAUCUUUACUGCAGAAAAUUCUAAGCAUUAUUGUGGCAGAUCCAGUAAGUCCCAGAGAAGGAUUCUGAUUGGUCCUGCUUCAGUCACAUGCUUGCAUCUUAGUCCAAUCACUGUGGCCUGGAGGAUGGGACACCAUGAUUUGCAAGACUCUGGUCACAUGCCCACACCUGUGGCUUCUGAAGCAGAGCACCAGCAGUGACAGUCCCACCAGAACCGCAUGGAAUAGAAAACUGUGCAUUUCCCUAAGGAAAGGGAAUGCCAGAGAAGGGCAGAAGGGAAAUCAGGAAGACAAAACGUGUCUUCAUGUUGGAGUGGACCUUUCCUCUAUCUGUCAACAGAAUGGAUAAAUUGUGGAAGAGUAAUAUCAGAAUACUACACAUCAGUAAAAAACAACAAACUUCUGCUACAAACAAUCAACAUCGAUGAAUCUUUCAGGCAAAAGGGUUAAUGCCUACAAUAAGUGUUCUUGAAAUACAGUCACGCGUUGCUUAACCAUGGGGAUAUAUUCUGAUAAAUUCAUCAUUAGGCGAUUUCAUCACUGGGCGAACAUCACAGCUCGUACUCACACAAACCUAGAUGUCAUAGCCUACUACACACCUAGGCUAUAUGAUAUAGGCUAUUGCUAGCAACAAACCUGUACAGCAUGUUACUGUCUUGAAUACUUAGGCAGCAGAGCACAAUGUUAUAGAAACAGAUGAUCAGUGGCCCACGGAUUCCAGGUGAGGAUCUGGGACCCAGACAUCCAGAUAUUGAAAACACAGGGAUGGAGUCUGUAUGGAAAAAAUUAAAAUAUAGCAAAAUGUGAAAUACGGAAGAGAAAUCUUUCAAUUUCCCAAUGGAAGUGAGAAAAGAGCAAAGAAAAGUAUUGGUCUUCCAAAACAAAUAGAGGACGGAGCUGCUGCUGUUGCAUGGUGUCUAGAAACUCAGACAACUUCAUCAUUCCAUAUUUGCAUCCAAGAGAGAGAAAGAAAAACUACAAUCAUUUUCCAUUUACCCAUCAACCCAUCAACCUCCAAAUAAAGGCUAUUAAAAAACAAUCAAAGUGUGAAGAGGGCAGAAAAUGUGAUGAAGAGAUUCUUUGGAGAAAGUAGCUGCCACUGUUACCUUGGGAUCUGCCUAUAGUCCUCACAGAGCUUGCCCUUGCAGGAUAGAACAUAGGAGUCUGGGAGUCUGCAAGAAGAGACAGGGUCUCACUAUGUUGCCCCAGUUGGCCUUGAA